AACGAACGCUGGCGGCAUGCCUAACACAUGCAAGUCGAACGAGACCUUCGGGUCUAGUGGCGCACGGGUGCGUAACGCGUGGGAACCUGCCCUUAGGUUCGGAAUAACUCCCCGAAAGGGGUGCUAAUACCGGAUGAUGUCUUCGGACCAAAGAUUUAUCGCCUUUGGAUGGGCCCGCGUUGGAUUAGCUAGUUGGUAGGGUAAAAGCCUACCAAGGCGACGAUCCAUAGCUGGUCUGAGAGGAUGAUCAGCCACACUGGGACUGAGACACGGCCCAGACUCCUACGGGAGGCAGCAGUGGGGAAUAUUGGACAAUGGGCGAAAGCCUGAUCCAGCAAUGCCGCGUGAGUGAUGAAGGCCUUAGGGUUGUAAAGCUCUUUUACCCGGGAUGAUAAUGACAGUACCGGGAGAAUAAGCUCCGGCUAACUCCGU
RNAcentral lists this ribosomal RNA (432 nucleotides) under uncultured bacterium. Its description in RNAcentral is "partial 16S ribosomal RNA". It matches the Rfam family "Bacterial small subunit ribosomal RNA", at positions 29 to 506 of the family's 1533-position model. The record is from RNAcentral.